AUAUGUUCGGCGCUACAUAUGGGCACUAAAAUUGGAACGAUACAGAGAAGACUACCAUGGCCUCUGCGCAAGGAUGACACGCAAAGUCGUGAAGCGUUCUACAUUUUU
RNAcentral lists this small nuclear RNA (108 nucleotides) under Leptinotarsa decemlineata (Colorado potato beetle). The record is from RNAcentral. Lineage: Eukaryota; Metazoa; Arthropoda; Insecta; Coleoptera; Chrysomelidae.